Dioscorea cayenensis subsp. rotundata (Guinea yam) is the source of this 107-nucleotide small nucleolar RNA. Lineage: Eukaryota; Viridiplantae; Streptophyta; Magnoliopsida; Dioscoreales; Dioscoreaceae. The record is from RefSeq and is a predicted model, not a curated record.
AAACCAUGUCGAGGACAUUUUCACAGGAGAUCAUUGAACCUAUCUCAUGUCUCAAAAAGAGACUUCAAUUCCAUUUGCACAAAAGAAGAUAUCUCAUUCCUAAGCUU